AUGCUUCUCAACAUCAGUGCUGAAGAAGAGGUUCUUUCCCCUGCAGGCCUUGACAACGUCAUCGAGGCCGGGCUCGUAGAUCGGGAGGGUGUCGCUGUUCCAGGCGUCAAUGCGGGGCUUGGAGAUGUCGACGACCACCACCUCGAUCGCCGGGCACUUGAUGGCAAUGACGGCCAUGGUUGGGCCGCCGACGUAGCCAGCUCCGAUGCAGCAGAUCUUCACCAUCUUGGUUGCUUACAACCUAUCUCAGGAACUCGGAGAAGAUCUGGAGAGGAGGGGCGCGCACUGCUGGAGGAAAGCAACGGAGGGGACUUCUUGGUGGAUGCAGAGAAGAAGCUGCUGCCCACGGUUUGUAUGCAGAGAGGAGGCUGCAACUCCUUAUAUACCCCUUUGCCCGAAGCCACCAGGUUGGAUCUACCCCUCCCCUCCCCGCUCUGGAAAAUUAACCGUGUGAAGACCGGUCAGAAUUCAGAAACCGGAAUAAAUUGA
RNAcentral lists this ribosomal RNA (489 nucleotides) under Triticum aestivum (bread wheat). RNAcentral describes it as "partial small subunit ribosomal RNA". The record is from RNAcentral. Lineage: Eukaryota; Viridiplantae; Streptophyta; Magnoliopsida; Poales; Poaceae.